Molecule: ribosomal RNA, 1434 nt
Filed under: Triticum aestivum (bread wheat)
Lineage: Eukaryota; Viridiplantae; Streptophyta; Magnoliopsida; Poales; Poaceae
Description: partial small subunit ribosomal RNA
Source: RNAcentral
AUGGAGAUGGCCGCGGCGACGAGGGAUGGAAAGAAUGGCGGCGUCCCGGAAUGGCGGGUGACGGUGCCGGAGGGCGCGUCGGUGACGGUGGAGCACGAGGUCUGCCGGGCCGCGCGGGCGUGGGCGUGGGUGGUUUCCUGCGUGGUCGUGCUCGGGGAGAAGGUGUCCGGCUUCGCCAAGCGGAUAUGGAAGAUCGGCGCCGACGAUCCCCGGCGGGCGGUGCACGGCCUCAAGGUGGGUCUCGCGCUCGCGCUGGUCUCGGUGUUCUACUACACCAGGCCCCUGUACGACGGCGUUGGCGGCGCCGCCAUGUGGGCCAUCAUGACGGUCGUCGUGAUCUUCGAGUACACCGUUGGUGGCUGUGUGUAUAAGGGGUUCAACCGAGUCGCCGCGACGGUCAGCGCCGGCGCGAUCGCGCUCGGCGUCCACUGGAUCGCGGCCAACGCCGGCCACGAGCUCGAGCCGUUCAUCCGCAGUGGAUCGGUUUUCCUGCUCGCUUCCAUGGCGACGUUCUCGCGGUUCAUACCCACGGUGAAGGCGCGAUUCGACUACGGCGUGACCAUCUUCAUCCUGACGUACAGCCUGGUGGCCGUGUCGGGGUACCGCGUGGAGGCGCUCCUGGCGAUGGCGCAGCAGCGGGUGUGCACCAUCGGCAUCGGCGUCUUCAUGUGCCUCUCCGUCUGCGUGCUCAUCUGCCCCGUGUGGGCGGGGCAGGAGCUGCACCGCCUCACCGUGCGCAACAUGGAUAAGCUCGCCGGCGCCGUGGAGGCCUGCGUGGGGGACUACUUCGUGGAGCAGGCGGACGGCAAGCAGCAGCCGCCGUCCGCCGGGGCGGACGGGUACAAGUGCGUGCUCAACUCCAAGGCGUCCGAGGACGCGCAGGCCAACCUGGCGCGGUGGGAGCCCGCGCACGGCAGGUUCGGCUUCCGCCACCCGUACGAGCAGUACAAGAACGUCGGCGCCGCCAUGCGGCACUGCGCCUACUGCGUGGAGGCCCUGAGCGGGUGCGUCCGCUCAGAGAUCCAGGCGCCCGAGCACGUCAAGCGGUACCUCGCCGACGGUUGCACGACGGUGGCGGCGCGGUGCGCGCGGGUGCUCGGGGAGGCCGCGAGCUCCGUCGGCGCAAUGACUACGUCGUGGAGCCUGGAGUUCGCCGUGGCCGACAUGAACACCGCCGUGCAGGAGCUCCAGAGCGACCUGAGGGAGCUCCCGUCCAAGCUGGCGGAGGAGUCGCCUGCGACGGUGAUCGACGCCGUGCAGCUCUUCACGGUCACUUCGCUGCUGAUAGAGGUGUCCACGAGGGUGGAGGGCGUCGUGGACGCGGUCGACACGCUCGCCAGCCUUGCCGGCUUCAGAUCAGCGGACGCGAAACCUGAAGCUUCAGAAACCGAAACCAAAGUGAUCAAUCCAGACUCGGACGAGGAAGCACAUUGA